Molecule: ribosomal RNA, 497 nt
Filed under: uncultured bacterium
Lineage: Bacteria
Description: partial 16S ribosomal RNA
Rfam family: Bacterial small subunit ribosomal RNA
Source: RNAcentral
GAUGAACGCUGGCGGCGUGCUUAACACAUGCAAGUCGAACGAAGCAUUUAGAACAGAUUAUUUCGGUAUGAAGUUCUUUAUGACUGAGUGGCGGACGGGUGAGUAACGCGUGGGUAACAUGCCUUGUACUGGGGGAUAGCAGCUGGAAACGGCUGGUAAUACCGCAUAAGCGCACAAUGUUGCAUGACAUGGUGUGAAAAACUCCGGAGCUAGAAGAUGGACCCGCGUCUGAUUAGCUAGUUGGUGAGAUAACAGCCAACCAAGGCGACGAUCAGUAGCCGACCUGAGAGGGUGACCGGCCACAUUGGGACUGAGACACGGCCCAGACUCCUACGGGAGGCAGCAGUGGGGAAUAUUGCACAAUGGAGGAAACUCUGAUGCAGCGACGCCGCGUGAGUGAAGAAGUAAUUCGUUAUGUAAAGCUCUAUCAGCAGGGAAGAUAGUGACGGUACCUGACUAAGAAGCUCCGGCUAAAUACGUGCCAGCCGCCGCGGUAA